CAACUCGACUACAUGAAGCUGGAAUCGCUAGUAAUCGCGAAUCAGCAUGUCGCGGUGAAUACGUUCCCGGGUCUUGUACACACCGCCCGUCACACCAUGGGAGUCGGUAACGCCCGAAGUCAGUGACCCAACCGAAAGGAGGGAGCUGCCGAAGGCGGGACUGGUAACUGGGGUGAAGUCGUAACAAGGUAGC
RNAcentral lists this ribosomal RNA (193 nucleotides) under uncultured bacterium. RNAcentral describes it as "partial 16S ribosomal RNA". It matches the Rfam family "Bacterial small subunit ribosomal RNA", at positions 1308 to 1500 of the family's 1533-position model. The record is from RNAcentral.